Molecule: transfer RNA, 58 nt
Filed under: Salmo salar (Atlantic salmon)
Lineage: Eukaryota; Metazoa; Chordata; Actinopteri; Salmoniformes; Salmonidae
Rfam family: tRNA
About the family: Transfer RNA (tRNA) molecules are approximately 80 nucleotides in length. Their secondary structure includes four short double-helical elements and three loops (D, anti-codon, and T loops).
Source: Rfam by way of RNAcentral
UGACUCAGUUGGUAGAGCAUGGUGUUUGCAAUGCCAGCGUUGUGGGUUCGAUUCCCAC